Podarcis lilfordi (Lilford's wall lizard) is the source of this 69-nucleotide non-coding RNA. The record is from the annotation of a GenBank genome assembly. NCBI's taxonomy places the organism in Eukaryota, Metazoa, Chordata, Lepidosauria, Squamata, Lacertidae.
GCCGUAGAUUGGUGAUAAAACAUCUGUUUUGCAUACAGAAGGUCCUAGGUUCAAACCCUGGCAUCUCCA